GGAGAGAUGGCCGAGGGGUCUAAAGCGUCGGAUUGCUAAUCCGUUGUACAAUUCGAUUGUACCGAGGGUUCGAAUCCCUCUCUCUCCU
RNAcentral lists this transfer RNA (88 nucleotides) under Todea barbara. Its description in RNAcentral is "tRNA-Ser". It matches the Rfam family "tRNA". Rfam says of the family: Transfer RNA (tRNA) molecules are approximately 80 nucleotides in length. Their secondary structure includes four short double-helical elements and three loops (D, anti-codon, and T loops). Lineage: Eukaryota; Viridiplantae; Streptophyta; Polypodiopsida; Osmundales; Osmundaceae. The record is from RNAcentral.